Molecule: ribosomal RNA, 214 nt
Filed under: uncultured bacterium
Lineage: Bacteria
Description: partial 16S ribosomal RNA
Rfam family: Bacterial small subunit ribosomal RNA
Source: RNAcentral
UCGAACCUGCCGUCUACUCUUGGACAGCCUUCUGAAAGGAAGAUUAAUACAAGAUGGCAUCAUGAGUCCGCAUGUUCACAUGAUUAAAGGUAUUCCGGUAGACGAUGGGGAUGCGUUCCAUUAGAUAGUAGGCGGGGUAACGGCCCACCUAGUCUUCGAUGGAUAGGGGUUCUGAGAGGAAGGUCCCCCACAUUGGAACUGAGACACGGUCCAA